This 352-nucleotide ribosomal RNA is filed under the name Ammothea longispina. Its description in RNAcentral is "partial 12S ribosomal RNA". The record is from RNAcentral. Lineage: Eukaryota; Metazoa; Arthropoda; Pycnogonida; Pantopoda; Ammotheidae.
GUAGGAGUUAAGGUCUUUAAAUUUAAAGAAUUUGGCGGUAAAUUAAUUUGACUAGAGGAAUUUGUUUAUUAAUAGAUAAUACACAAUUUAUCUUUCUUUAUUUAUUAUUAAUAAUAAUUUAUAUAUCGUCGUUUAGAAUAUUUUUAUAGAAUUAAUUUUCUUUAAUUGUAAUUAAUUUAAAAUCAGAUCAGGAUAUAGUUUAUAAUGAAGAAUAAAAUGAAUUACAUUUUUGAAAAAAAAUUAUGGAUAAUUUUUUGUAAUAUAAAUUUGAAGGAGGAUUUAGAAGUAAUAAAAUAUUAGUAUGAUUUUAUGAAUAUUUAUUAUACUAAUUUAUGUACACAUCGCCCGUCGC